This 429-nucleotide ribosomal RNA is filed under the name Acidobacteriota bacterium. Its description in RNAcentral is "Acidobacteria bacterium partial 16S ribosomal RNA". It matches the Rfam family "Bacterial small subunit ribosomal RNA", at positions 355 to 776 of the family's 1533-position model. The record is from RNAcentral. Lineage: Bacteria; Pseudomonadati; Acidobacteriota.
UGGGGAAUUUUGGACAAUGGGGGAAACCCUGAUCCAGCCAUCCCGCGUGUGCGAUGAAGGCCUUCGGGUUGUAAAGCACUUUUGGCAGGAAAGAAACGUCAUGGGUUAAUACCCCGUGAAACUGACGGUACCUGCAGAAUAAGCACCGGCUAACUACGUGCCAGCAGCCGCGGUAAUACGUAGGGUGCAAGCGUUAAUCGGAAUUACUGGGCGUAAAGCGUGCGCAGGCGGUUCGGAAAGAAAGAUGUGAAAUCCCAGAGCUCAACUUUGGAACUGCCUUUUUAACUACCGGGCUAGAGUGUGUCAGAGGGAGGUGGAAUUCCGCGUGUAGCAGUGAAAUGCGUAGUUAUGCGGAGGAACACCGAUGGCGAAGGCAGCCUCCUGGGAUAACACUGACGCUCAUGCACGAAAGCGUGGGGAGCAAACAGG